AGUCUUCUGUAUGCGUGCUGAGAUUUCGUCACACACCAGACCACAAGAGCUGCUGAGACUCCCGAGAUAUGUGAAGCG
Molecule: microRNA precursor, 78 nt
Filed under: Schistosoma margrebowiei
Lineage: Eukaryota; Metazoa; Platyhelminthes; Trematoda; Strigeidida; Schistosomatidae
Description: mir-3492 microRNA precursor family
Rfam family: mir-3492 microRNA precursor family
Source: Rfam by way of RNAcentral